UAAACCUUGGGAGGAACCGGUCAAAGGAAGGAGCGCCUUCUGGAACUGUAAAGCCUUCAUUUGGCAGCUCAGUGACUGGCUUGGUCUACUUGUGAGGUGCUGAGGGAAGUUGUCUGCUGUUCCAAAACGAUGAAAAUAAAAAAUGGGGUCCCUUGUGUUGUUGAGGGAUGGGUGCUAAUGCUAGCAGCUGAAUGGUUAUCUUCUGACUAUGUUUUGGUGUGUUGAAGCUGAAAGGCAGCCUGCAACCUAGGACGUCAUCACAGCCAGAGCAGUCUCUGGUAAGGUGUUGUAGCUGGCUUAAGAGGGCAGAUGGAAGCAUCUGCCUCGGGCAGGUGAGCGGGCAGAGGUGUCUCGCACAGACUCAAAGGAGCAAACUGCAUUCUGAAGA
Molecule: long non-coding RNA, 388 nt
Organism: Oxyura jamaicensis (ruddy duck)
Lineage: Eukaryota; Metazoa; Chordata; Aves; Anseriformes; Anatidae
Exons: 3
Source: RefSeq, a predicted model, not a curated record